UGCACUUACAAGCUGUGGAAGCACAUUUCUUGUGUGACCGCGUACUUUUUGUAGAACGGGCCAACGAGUUACGUUAAGUAGCAAGGUUAAGCACUUAAGGUGUGGAGCCGUAGCGAAAGCGCGUUUUAACUGAGCGUUCAGUUACUUGACGUAGACCCGAAACCGGGCGACCUACCCAUGAGCAGGAUGAAGCGAAAGUAAAAUUUCGUGGAGGUCCGAACCCACGAGCGUUGAAAAGC
RNAcentral lists this ribosomal RNA (239 nucleotides) under Clostridioides difficile. Its description in RNAcentral is "partial 23S ribosomal RNA". It matches the Rfam family "Bacterial large subunit ribosomal RNA", at positions 559 to 797 of the family's 2925-position model. Lineage: Bacteria; Bacillati; Bacillota; Clostridia; Peptostreptococcales; Peptostreptococcaceae. The record is from RNAcentral.